Molecule: ribosomal RNA, 560 nt
Filed under: uncultured bacterium
Lineage: Bacteria
Description: bacterial SSU rRNA
Rfam family: Bacterial small subunit ribosomal RNA
Source: RNAcentral
CCUACGGGAGGCAGCAGUGGGGAAUCUUGCGCAAUGGGCGAAAGCCUGACGCAGCCAUGCCGCGUGGAUGAUGAAGGUCUUAGGAUUGUAAAAUCCUUUCACCGGUGAAGAUAAUGACUGUAGCCGGAGAAGAAGCCCCGGCUAACUUCGUGCCAGCAGCCGCGGUAAUACGAAGGGGGCUAGCGUUGCUCGGAAUUACUGGGCGUAAAGGGAGCGUAGGCGGACAUUUAAGUCAGAGGUGAAAUCCCGGAGCUUAACUUCGGAACUGCCUUUGAUACUGGGUGUCUUGAGUGUGAGAGAGGUAUGUGGAACUCCGAGUGUAGAGGUGAAAUUCGUAGAUAUUCGGAAGAACACCAGUGGCGAAGGCGACAUACUGGCUCAUUACUGACGCUGAGGCUCGAAAGCGUGGGGAGCAAACAGGAUUAGAUACCCUGGUAGUCCACGCCGUAAACGAUGAUUGCUAGUUGUCGGGAAGCUUGCUUCUCGGUGACGCAGCUAACGCAUUAAGCAAUCCGCCUGGGGAGUACGGUCGCAAGAUUAAAACUCAAAUGAAUUGACGG